This 471-nucleotide long non-coding RNA is filed under the name Homo sapiens (human). Its description in RNAcentral is "HSALNT0367661". Lineage: Eukaryota; Metazoa; Chordata; Mammalia; Primates; Hominidae. The record is from RNAcentral.
UGUGUACCUCCGAGAGAGAGGAGUCACUUUCAUCAGACCUAUAGUGAAAGAGUUAGAAUUAUGAGAGAAAGAAUACAGAUGUCAACAGAAUGAGUAAAACAUGUUCAAAUAGGAAAACCAUGACUUUGAAUGGUAAACUGUAGAAGAGUAACAUCCUUCUGAAUGAGAUGGGUACAUAUGAAUACUGAAGAGUCAUAACCAGUCUGGCCAGAGCCCAGAGGAUCUCACUCAGAUGGUCACCAACUCAGGCCCUCUUCAGGACCAAGUUUGGUCUGAAGCAUUAUGGUUACCUGGGCAGCAGGACACACAAACAACUCACUGUUGUACUCUCAACUCUGAGAACACAACUCUAGCCCAAGCCCCUGAGACCGCCGUCCUUAGAAAGGCCUGCUUGGAAAACUGGACUUUGGCUGACAUCUAAAAACAGCUCUCAGAGCGUUCCCAGUCAACUGUUAGCCAAUAAAAGUGGCU